RNAcentral lists this ribosomal RNA (367 nucleotides) under uncultured Parvimonas sp. RNAcentral describes it as "partial 16S ribosomal RNA". It matches the Rfam family "Bacterial small subunit ribosomal RNA", at positions 527 to 896 of the family's 1533-position model. Lineage: Bacteria; Bacillati; Bacillota; Tissierellia; Tissierellales; Peptoniphilaceae. The record is from RNAcentral.
GUAUGGGGCGASSUUUGUCCGGAAUUAUUGGGCGUAAAGGGUACGUAGGCGGUUUUUUAAGUCAGGUGUGAAAGCCUGAGGCUUAACCUCAUUAAGCACUUGAAACUGGAAGACUUGAGUGAAGGAGAGGAAAGUGGAAUUCCUAGUGUAGMGGUGAAAUGCGUAGAUAUUAGGAGGAAURCCGGUGGCGAAGSCRACUUUCUGGACUUUUACUGACGCUCARGYRCGAAAGCGUGGGKAGCAAACAGGAUUAGAUACCCUGGUAGUCCACGCCGUAAACGAUGAWUGCUAGGUGUUGGGAGUCAAAYCUCAGGYGCCSAAGUUAACACAUUAAGCAUUCCGCCUGGGGAGUACGGHGGCAACWCUG